GUUCAACUCCUCCUCCAGCAGAUAAUUUUGUCCCUCUGUUAGGGCAGCAGCUUCUGGGUGAUGUGAUAUGCAGCAGUGUUAUGAGGAACUGUGAGAAUGUGAAUCAGGCACUCUGGAGCCUUUAGACAGCAGUGCUGGCUAGGGCCCUGGGAGCAAAGGAGGUAUCAUUGAUUUCAUUCAACCAUGUGCAUCCUGUGUCAGAGAAGAGACCAAAAUCCCUAGAAUGUGCUGGAAGUUGACAGAAAUCAGCUAACAAAUUAAGGAGCAUCAAACGGCAAAGGGUAAUAAGAGUCUGUGAAACACAAUAGAUGUGUUUUGAAGAACAUAGGCUGCUAACAGAAUGGAUUCCCACUGCCUCCCCACAAGUCAGCCAUGUAUGGAAAUCAAAAAUUCCACUCCAGUGAGCGCACUUCCCUGCUCUCAAAUGCCAGAAACCAUGGAGCAGCAAGCAGGCCUGUACCAUUACCACUGGCAGCAAGCAGUUUUAUAAUGAGUUUUGGAAAUUUGACUACUUGCCAGCCUCUGAUUCAUUAAUGUAAUAUUAGAAGAAAAUUAACAGAGGAAAUUGACCUCAGAGGACAUUUGGGGAGAAGGACAAGUCCAUGCUGAACCGAGUCAGCUACCAAGAAAGUGAAACCGGUUUGCCCAUGAGCCCGGGAGCUUUCAAGGUUCUUGCUUGCAAUGUGUACAUUCCAUCGUCUUAGCUGGUGACUGCUCCUGCUGUUGCUAUAGAGUGGAACUUUCAAGCACUGAUGUCUAUAAUAAGCUAGAUGAGCUCACUUGUUAAUGCUUUUUCCUUCCUGUUAUACUUUUCAGUAUGUUAAGCUGCUAUUUAACUUUGAAUUGUCACA
Cervus elaphus (red deer) is the source of this 851-nucleotide long non-coding RNA. RefSeq lists it as uncharacterized. The record is from RefSeq and is a predicted model, not a curated record. NCBI's taxonomy places the organism in Eukaryota, Metazoa, Chordata, Mammalia, Artiodactyla, Cervidae. The transcript has 3 exons.